Molecule: ribosomal RNA, 610 nt
Filed under: Zasmidium rothmanniae
Lineage: Eukaryota; Fungi; Ascomycota; Dothideomycetes; Mycosphaerellales; Mycosphaerellaceae
Description: eukaryotic LSU rRNA
Rfam family: Eukaryotic large subunit ribosomal RNA
Source: RNAcentral
AGGAUGCUUCUGGCCAGCGGCCGUUCUAAGUUCCUUGGAACAGGACGUCAUAGAGGGUGAGAAUCCCGUAUGUGACCGGCGCGCAGCCUCCACGUAGCUCCUUCGACGAGUCGAGUUGUUUGGGAAUGCAGCUCUAAAUGGGUGGUAAAUUCCAUCUAAAGCUAAAUAUUGGCCAGAGACCGAUAGCGCACAAGUAGAGUGAUCGAAAGAUGAAAAGCACUUUGGAAAGAGAGUUAAAAAGCACGUGAAAUUGUUGAAAGGGAAGCGCUUCCAACCAGACUCCGCGGCGGUGUUCCGCCGGUCUUCUGACCGGUCUACUCGCCGCCGUGGGGCCAACAUCGUCUGGGGCCGCCGGAUAAGACCGUAGGAAUGUAGCUCAUUGAGUGUUAUAGCCUGCGGUGAUGCGGCGCGCCCCGGGCGAGGUCCGCGCUUCGGCAAGGAUGUUGGCGUAAUGGUUGGCAGCGGCCCGUCUUGAAACACGGACCAAGGAGUCUAACAUCUAUGCGAGUGUUCGGGUGUCACACCCCUACGCGUAAUGAAAGUGAACGGAGGUGGGAGCUUCGGCGCACCAUCGACCGAUCCUGAUGUCCUCGGAUGGAUUUGAUGAAGA